AAAUUAUACUGGGGUAUCUGAUCUGGAUUUUGUCUAAGGGAAGGUGAUAUGUAAUAAUUUGGCCCUAAAUAUCCUCUGGCAUGAUUUGUAGCUUCAGUAAAAUCAUUAAAACCUUUAAAAAGAGGGGCUUUAAAACCUUGUAUGGAGUCUAAUACUUCUAACCAUGUUUGGAAAAUCCCGUUAGUUUUUCCAUGAAUGACUACAUAGUAUUUAAAACGAGGCCUACUUUUUUCU
RNAcentral lists this long non-coding RNA (234 nucleotides) under Capsicum annuum. Its description in RNAcentral is "long non-coding RNA (CANN_LNC014471)". The record is from RNAcentral. Lineage: Eukaryota; Viridiplantae; Streptophyta; Magnoliopsida; Solanales; Solanaceae.